GUGAAUCAUCGAAUUUUUGAACGCAAAUUGCACUUUCUGGUAUUCCGGAAAGUAUGCCUGUUUGAGGGUCAGUUAAAUAAAAAUCGGUGUUGUUGCUGCCUUUCGUGGUGACGCGUCGGAAUUGGGUCGGCUUACCUUCGGUUACGUGACUUAAAAUUUUGUCAUGAUUUUCGAACGUAUUUAAAUCGCUUACGUACGUUGGAGAUAUCGAAUGCUUAUUAGUUUCGGUCAUUCCCAUGAUUCGCGCCUAUAAUUUUUCAUUAAAUUACCUCAAAUCAGGUAAGAAUAUCUGUUGAACUUA
Molecule: unclassified non-coding RNA, 301 nt
Filed under: Glomeraceae sp.
Lineage: Eukaryota; Fungi; Glomeromycota; Glomeromycetes; Glomerales; Glomeraceae
Description: partial contains 5.8S ribosomal RNA, internal transcribed spacer 2, and large subunit ribosomal RNA
Rfam family: 5.8S ribosomal RNA (bases 1-71)
Source: RNAcentral